RNAcentral lists this ribosomal RNA (429 nucleotides) under Chloroflexota bacterium. RNAcentral's name for it is "Chloroflexi bacterium partial 16S ribosomal RNA". It matches the Rfam family "Bacterial small subunit ribosomal RNA", at positions 355 to 776 of the family's 1533-position model. The record is from RNAcentral. Lineage: Bacteria; Bacillati; Chloroflexota.
UAGGGAAUCUUCGGCAAUGGACGAAAGUCUGACCGAGCAACGCCGCGUGAGUGAAGAAGGUUUUCGGAUCGUAAAACUCUGUUGUUAGAGAAGAACAAGGACGUUAGUAACUGAACGUCCCCUGACGGUAUCUAACCAGAAAGCCACGGCUAACUACGUGCCAGCAGCCGCGGUAAUACGUAGGUGGCAAGCGUUGUCCGGAUUUAUUGGGCGUAAAGCGAGCGCAGGCGGUUUCUUAAGUCUGAUGUGAAAGCCCCCGGCUCAACCGGGGAGGGUCAUUGGAAACUGGGAGACUUGAGUGCAGAAGCGGAGAGUGGAAUUCCAUGUGUAGCGGUGAAAUGCGUAGAUAUAUGGAGGAACACCAGUGGCGAAGGCGGCUCUAUGGUCUGUAACUGACGCUGAGGCUCGAAAGCGUGGGGAGCAAACAGG